CGUUAGCGGCGGACGGGUGAGUAACACGUGGGUAACCUACCUAUAAGACUGGGAUAACUUCGGGAAACCGAGCUAAUACCGGAUAAUAUUUCGAACCGCAUGGUUCGAUAGUGAAAGAUGGUUUUGCUAUCACUUAUAGAUGGACCCGCGCCGUAUUAGCUAGUUGGUAAGGUAACGGCUCACCAAGGCGACGAUACGUAGCCGACCUGAGAGGGUGAUCGGCCACACUGGAACUGAGACACGGUCCAGACUCCUACGGGAGGCAGCAGCG
This 271-nucleotide ribosomal RNA is filed under the name uncultured Staphylococcus sp. RNAcentral's name for it is "partial 16S ribosomal RNA". It matches the Rfam family "Bacterial small subunit ribosomal RNA", at positions 90 to 356 of the family's 1533-position model. The record is from RNAcentral. Lineage: Bacteria; Bacillati; Bacillota; Bacilli; Caryophanales; Staphylococcaceae.